Alnus glutinosa is the source of this 417-nucleotide long non-coding RNA. RefSeq lists it as uncharacterized. The transcript has 3 exons. NCBI's taxonomy places the organism in Eukaryota, Viridiplantae, Streptophyta, Magnoliopsida, Fagales, Betulaceae. The record is from RefSeq and is a predicted model, not a curated record.
GAAGUUCCGAUCUUCUCUCAAUUCAGCAGCAUUCUUCCUUUCUUUGUUGUGCAUAAUUAGAAUCUAAAAGAAGGAAAUCAAAGAAGAAGAAUUCAUCUUCUUUUCCCUUGGACAACAGCCUUUGGAAAAACAGGAAACCGGAUCCUCUCCAUCUCCCUCUUUUGGUUCAGCCUUGUAGAAAGAAGGAAAGGAAGGAUCCUCUCCAUUACACUCACUUGGCCGGAUCUAGUGUGUGGGAGUGUUGUGUAUUUCACAAGAUAUCCUACAGAUAUUUGGAGAUAGCAAAGACUCUUAGUAGUAUCGAUACCAGGGAAAUUUAAAGAUCUUGGAGCUUAACGAAAGGCUGCAUAUCUAGGAGAGAUUUUUGGUGACUAGUUAGUUGGAAAAAUCCUAUGUGAUUUAUUUUUUAUGUAUAGG